Molecule: long non-coding RNA, 6958 nt
Organism: Meleagris gallopavo (turkey)
Lineage: Eukaryota; Metazoa; Chordata; Aves; Galliformes; Phasianidae
Source: RefSeq, a predicted model, not a curated record
UGUAUGUAUAUACAUGUAUAUGUGGAUGUAUAUAUAAAAUUAGGUAUCUUAAUCAGUUGCCCAUGAUUCUGCUCAAUUGCCCCAUUCAUCUCAGAAGUACAUAAUUUCUCACUGUUUCACCAGGAUGGUUGCAGCAGGUAACAGUGAGGAAUUUAUAGGUCAUGUAGCUGAGUUUGGUCCUAAAUAAAAGCAGUAGCAGCUGCUGUAAACUUUUUUUUUUCCCUCUAAUACUCGCCAGCUUGGAGUUUUUCUCCAGGAUGUGCCAGAUCUAGAUUGAUUUCUGAAUUUGGCUAAGAUGCCCAAACUUCUACUUCCUAGAAAUCUGCUAUGACGCUCUGGUUUACCAACAAUUUGGUUGAAUAGCUCUCAGUGAUUCCCAUGGAAACUGUACCAUUAUACCAUUAUAUGUGAAGUAUUUAAAGAUGUGUUAAUCUCAGAAGAGCAAGACCUGCUCCACAAGUUCUCAGCUGAGUGGCUGAGUACCCUGCUGAGAGUGGAAGAGGGAAAGGGCUGUCUGCCAGUCAUUUCUAUUAAAUUAUCAUUUACAACAAGGAGGUGAUUUUCCUCUCAGGUGAGGAUUCAGUCCCUAGACAAUGGAAUCAUUCCAUCUCUGUCAAAGAAUCUCCUCAACCAGAACUAACGUCUGGUAUUGUUGUAUAUUUUUCCUAGGUUCAUUUAGAAGCAAUGGUCACUUAGAUGAUUUUGUAAAUGUCAGUGCCACAAAGUGGAUGUAAAAAUAUAACUUUUUGACUUGAAACAACCGAAUUCCACUAAGCUAAUGUACCAAAACUAUGUUCUAACUGGCUACUAAGUUAUAAUAAGAUGAGGGAUGAAUCCCCCACGGGAAAAUGUGAAAAUGAAAACAGAUGAAGAAGAAAAUUAAGCUGAUUAUCUACCCUACCAAGACUCAGUGCUUCUUACCAGUGUUCAGACACACAUCUCCAUAUGUCUAAAAAAAUCUGUGAGAUUAGAAGACUGCGUAAGCAUUACAGACAUGUAUAGAAAUGUAUAGUGCAUGUAUAGAAAUGCGUAUCCACAUACCAAAGGAUAACAAAAUAUCAACAUUUUUCAUGUUUUUUUCCAAGAACAAAAGUAUUUGGUGACUUCAAGUUUCCAGAGAAAAUGCCAACAAUCUCUAAAAAUCUGACCAUGUACUUUAAAAUCAAUUGCAAUUCUUUGAGUAUAUAAGGCUGUGAAUUGACUCACCAAUGCCAUGGGCCAGAACUGUUGCCUUUUUCCCACCUUAUAACAUCUGUGACAAUUAUUUCAGAAAUCAAAAGCAUAAAGUCAAUAACUUUCAAUCAAUUGGAAGCCAGAAAGGAUGAACAUGUCUGAUAUUUUCUGUCUUGUCUUGGUUGCAGCUUCAGUCCUGAAGAGUGGUUGAGAUGGAAUUCAAUCCCAAGUACUCCUGCUAGGUUCCCUCCCCAUUGUGACGGAAAUUACAGCAACUGUCACAAUUUGUUUAACUUUGGUGUUCUUCAGACAGUUACCAACUCUUUUGGUCACUCUGUCAUCCCAGAACCACAGAAUCACAGAAUUGUAAGGCUUGGAUGGGACCUCUGAAGAUCAUCAAGCCAAAGCCUCUGCUAAAGCAGGUUCUCUACAGCAAGCUGCACAGGGAAGCAUCCAGAUGGAGUCACGUCCAAGUCAGACUGAUCAGGAGAUCCUACACUCCUGUGUCUAUCUCCCUUGAGGGAUUUCCUCAGAAUGUCAAGCACAUGUAAGGAUGUUGCAAACGUAAGAAAAAACAUUUUUACUGUGAGCAUGAUUGAAGACCAGAACAGGUGACCUGGAGAUGUAGUAGCAUCUCCAGCCCUGAAGAUCCUCAAAACACAACUCGACAUGGCUCUGAGCAACCUCAGCAAUUUGAUGACACCCUACAGGAGCAAAUUAACUAUCAGAUGAAUACUUUACAGUAAUUUAAGAAGUAUUUUUUCCUUUAUGUAGAUCUGUUAAGUUCAGUGGCAUGAAUCUUGCAGAGCUUCUUCCCACCUACUGACAAGAAGAAAUCUUGGGAAGUCUGAAAUACGUUGUCAGCAGUGGAACAGUGAUGUGGUCUCAAAGAGACUGUGUAGUGUCAAUGUCACGCAGUCUGUAUUGGGAAGCCUCGAUGAUCUCUUCCAAACUAAACUGCCAGAAAUAGAUACCAGCAUGAAAAGUAAUGGUGAACUUCUAUUCAUGAGCACUGGAUUUUCAGUGUGGCAUCAAAGCUUAGCAAUCCUUCAUUUCUCAUUUACUUUGUUUAAAAAACACAAGGAAUCAUAGUGACAAUACUGAUAAGAUCAGUAGGAGGACACAUGCUUCUAUGUGUCCUCCCAAGAUGCUGGACAGCUCUUUGGUCUUCAAUAAGCGUAUGGAUUGUCGACUGCUGGAAGGAAAGCAGUAAAAGCACAUAGCCUGCCUGUGGAAUAUGCUAUUGCCAGAUCAGUGAGCUGGAAUCUAGAGCUGGUUUUCGGGAGGAGACAGGUGAAUUUAUGAUUGGUUUUAAUAUUUGUGUUCAUGCUAAGUACCUAGGGGCAGACACAUAAAAAGGUGGAGUAUCAAAAACCAACUCGCUUGAGUCUAAAAAAUUUACAAAGGGAGCUCACAGCAGGAUGAGUUACAGAGGCAGUUGUUUCCCAUAGUUGCAGGAGCUAUGCCAGCUUCUCCAAGGCAAAGUUCACACUAUUUAUCUUGAAUCAUCAUAUAACUUUCAUGGGGUCUGUGAAGAGAAAGAAAUCCAUUGGAAGGUUUAGUUGCCAGAGAGAAUUGUAUUUGUACUCUCUGGAAAGGGAAAGAGCAGUCUUUAAAUACAAGGGGAUAUAAAACUCAGCAAGACUAGUUGUUAAGUUAAGAGCCUUAAAGUUAGACAUUGCUUUUGGAUAUACCUUUUGAUUGCUGUUUCUACCAACUGGCAUUUUGAUAUAUAAAUGUUUUAUGAUGUUAACAAUAACUGAGAUGUAGCAGAAACAAAUUGUAAAUUGACAGAGACACAUCUCUGGUUCCUGAAAUUACUCAUUCCUUACUGUGUUAGGGUGAACCCUGUAGGAGCCAAUGGACACACUCCCACUGUCUUCAACAGCCUUCAGUCAUCCAAUAAUAUCUGUACAAAUAAACAGCUAUCAAAAAGAGAGGGAAAAAGGAAGGAGUUCUGGGACAAUUAGAGGCUUAAUUUCCCUUGAAUUUCCUCUUUGUGAGUUUUGUCUGAAGCAACCAAUGGCUGGAGUAUUUGGCAAUGCUUUGCUCUGUGUGCAUCUUCUUGGGGAGAUGUUUUCUUUCUAAGACAUGAAACUAAUGUUUCAGCCUUUCCCUUCACCUGAGCACUUAGAGGACACAAGCAUGAAGGAAUCUAGUUACUUGGAUAGUCCUAAUCCUUUGCCACAUUUGGCUAUUACACUGAAAUGUGACUAGAAAAGGACAAAGGAAGAAAGUAACAACAUGGUCACAUGAGCUUCUUUUCUUAAUGAAAUUGAACUGAAAAUAUUCUCCCCGUUCCCUUGCCACAACACACAAAAUGAACUGGAUGAGGGCCAGAGAUAUAGCAGGCUAUCCAAAUCAGCACAGGCAUUCUUAAUAGCAGGAUGAUGUGAAAGAAGAAGCAUGCUGUUUAAAAUCCCACAACAUAGGUUUUGUUAAUACUUUCUUCUUAUCCAGCCAAGCCAGCAUUCUGAUAAGUUGUACUUAGAACUAGCAAGAGUUUAAAAAGGUGUUCUGCUGUGUAUUUUAAUUGCCUUUCUAAGUAUACUGAUCUUAAUUAUUGAAUCAUAGAAUGGCUUGGGCUGGAAGGUACCUCAAGGAUCAUCAAGCUCCAACUCCACAUUUAAUCUUUAUAUUUUGAGAGUAUUUGUUUUCUAAAUGAAGAUUCUUCUCUCAUGGUUGCUGCAGGCUUCUACCUGCUUACUAGCUGGUGUAGUGGACAAUCUUUCUAUCUUCCCUGGUGUCAUCUAAAAAUAAAUCUUUAGAUUUAAACAACAAAAGCAACCCUGUAAGAAGUUCGAAGAUUCAAUUCACUUUACAAUAAGAUGAUAAAGACAAUCCCAUAGCAAAAAGCAUUAAUUUGAAGGUAAUGCAUGAACUCAGCUAUCCAGCAAUGUGCAGUGAUCACAAAAAGGUAACACAUUAGCAUAACCAGUCAUUAACUUCAACCUGUUUUCCUCUCACAGAGAAGAUACUCCCUUUAUAUAAGGUUCAGAUGAGUACUUGUGACAAUCCAGCAGUGUGGUCAUUAAAUGUUAUUUUGUCCCAAUGAGAAACUGAGUUUGAGCAACUAGAAAUACUCCAUUUCUUCUCUCUUUUCUAAAAAAUUUCAACUUCAGUGUGUCCUAGAAAUACUUCAUGCCCUAAAAUUAGAUUAAUGUAAAGGUUAUUAAAAGAGUUUCUUUUACAGAACUAACUGUUCUCAGUACUGUUUAAAAUAGGAAUUUCCAAAAAUAAAAGGCAAACAUGAAAUAGGAAAAAGACAUCUGUACUUCAGAAGUGAAUUUCUAUGAAUCUUCACACUGACACAAUCCAAAUGCUACCUAAAAUUAUAAUUUUAUUACAUUUUUAUUUUUAUGCCACUUAAUUUCCUCAGUUCUAGAAGAGGAAUAGUUCAGCAAGAUGACAAAGGAUUAUUCCAGAUUGUCUAGGGGAGAAAAGAAUAACUGAUGAAAUUUGACUGAGACCUAAGGACCCAUGAUUGAUGUCUUUCUUUAGGCAACAGCAAAUGCAGAAUUUAUGUGGUUCCAAGUUCCAGCAGUUCAGAUCAGAAGGAAGAAUAGAAAGACCCUUUGCCUGCUACAGUAUCAGAAGGGCAAAUAAUCAGCCAGAUUUCUCCUCUCAAAGGAUAUAAUUUCGUUUGAGGGAGGUCUCAUUGCUGAAAAUCACUGCAAAAUCAGAGAUGUGGAACCUGGUCCAGUUUUCAUUAUCUGUAAAUUUGGCUUUCACUUUUUUCUCGCCAUUUAGCAUAUGUCAACUUGCAGAAACCUGCUGUAGAAAUAUGCACUUUGGAGCUAAGCCUUUGAAGUAGGCAGAGUCCUGUUUUUGUAAGAGAAAAUUAGCUACACUCUCCUAGUGACUUCUAAUACUAUAUAAGGAAAACUGGGAAUAUUUUUGAAAUUCUGGAAAAGCUCAUCGGCAGGAGCCUUCUUCUGUCUUGACUUGCUUCUUCUUUUAAAUGAUACCAGAUCUAUGCUAGCUGCUAACAGAAGAUACUCUCAAGUCCUUUGCUUCUGUCUGUCUAGUAUUUAUGGAUGCAUUUAUGACUUAUAGGGUCUUUUUUUAUAUUUUACAUACGGAUCACCUCCUUGUAGCAGUUCUGAGUGCAGCUGUCAUAGCUGUCAUGAGCUUAGCUUACUUUGACACUUAGCACAAUCGUACAUGAUGAUCAUUGAUUGAUAUGAGCAUAUAAAUUUAGUUUUAUUGAGGCUGCUGGAUCAAGCUGCUGGAUAAAAUUAUCCAUAGAAAAAUAAUGCCUCAUUAUUCUCUUCCAGUAGUAAAAAACAUGAAAGCUUAAAAUCAAAAAGGAUCUCUUAUUGGGUGUUUCUAAAAGGCAGUGAUGAAGAACUGGAACUUGUAAUUUCCUAUUGACAGGGAUGCCCUUAAGGUUUAUACAGAGUAUUUCAAAGCAGUAGCAGUUUACACCAUGAUUCAAAUAGCCUGUUUGCCUAGGACAUCCAUUUAAGCAGUGCAAUAUCCGUUUCUGUCUCUGAAAGUGAUUUCUAGCAUGAGUCUUUUUUAAUUUCUAUUAAUGUUACAGAAUGGAGAAGAUUGAUGCUGAUUCACACACUAGCUCAGUUAAUUUUUCUUCAAGUAUGGAUUCUUAUUAGGAAUGUUUUCAUGUAAUGUAAUAAAUCAUGCUCCUACAGUCAAGUCUGUGUUCAUAUAUUCUUCUCUAGCAUCUCCUCCUUAAUAAUAAUUGUCAUAAGAAAUGGAGGAAACAAAUGAAUAUUGGAUGAUUCACUGGUCUCCUGGUAAUUCUGUCCAGAGUGAUACAGGACAGCCUAAGAGCUGAAGAAGAGCAAUUUUUGCUGGUAAAAGAGGGCUAAAUUCGUUGAUAUCCUAGGCUCCAUUUUGCUUUCUAAUACUUUGAAAAGGGGAAGUAAGAAAGAAAAAAUAAAAAAUCUUUUACUGUCAUGUAGAUUUGCUCCUGUCAGCCUUGGCCACAUGUCAGUUUCUUACUCCACUGAUCUCCUGUGACUUUCUUGUUUACCAGCUUUAAUUCAACUUUAUCCUAUGCUAUCCUAUAAAAGAAUUCAACAUAACUCCUCUAAAAUUGAUGUUUUCCUAUUAUCAUGUUGCCUCUACUCUGAAAAUUGUUUUUCUUGUGCAAUUCUCUAUUAUUAAUGGCAGAGACCUCUACAAAGUCAGUAUCUACUAGUUAAUCCCAUGGAAGAAAAGAAAAAGAAAAGAGACAUAGCUCCUCCUUUCUUGGCACAGGCACAUGUUCAGAUUUUGCCACGGUAUUAUUUUGCUCUUUUGAAUUUAUUUUAAUAACACCUUAUCUCUAAUGAAAGAUUCAUUCCAACUUGUUUACAGCUACAGAAGCCAAAUUUCCUGGUCUGUUGCUCUCAUAACUUCAUUCUUCAUCAUUGGCACUACUGUUAGAUUUGCUCUGGUCUUCUAGUGGCAUCUUGGAUUUUAAUGACUUUUUGAUCUAUGCCAGAGAAUAUGCUGACUUCUCAUCUCAUAGCGAAUCCCAUCAGGUCCUGCAGAUGCUGAUCUGAUAUUUGCUUGUUCCACUAAUAAGCCUUGUAGUUUGGAUGUGAUCCUGGCCUUCUAUUCCCACAGCAGUAGUUGCCUUCUGCUAUGUCUGAUCUGAUAUGCUAAUGUAGCUUGUGACUAGCGCAAACCAAAAGAGUGGUGAUUUCCCCUUCAGGGGACAUAAUAGAUUCAUCAAGCACUGCUCAGCAGUGUCUGAUAUAGAUACAUCUGUUCAAUAAAUCAUAUAUCCAGAACCAUCAGUAGGACAGAGGCAUUUUUUUCCUGGAAGUAAGACAUU